This 253-nucleotide ribosomal RNA is filed under the name uncultured bacterium. RNAcentral describes it as "partial 16S ribosomal RNA". It matches the Rfam family "Bacterial small subunit ribosomal RNA", at positions 524 to 776 of the family's 1533-position model. The record is from RNAcentral.
UACGGAGGGUGCAAGCGUUAUUCGGAAUUAUUGGGCGUAAAGAGCGCGUAGGCGGUUUGGCAAGUCUGGUGUGAAAGCCCCGGACUUAAUUCGGGAAGUGCAUUGGAUACUGCCAAACUUGAGUACGGGAGAGGGGAGUGGAAUUCCUGGUGUAGAGGUGAAAUUCGUAGAUAUCAGGAGGAACAACAGAGGCGAAGGCGACUCCCUGGACCGUUACUGACGCUGAAGCGCGAAAGCGUGGGGAGCAAACAGG